This 434-nucleotide ribosomal RNA is filed under the name uncultured bacterium. RNAcentral describes it as "partial 16S ribosomal RNA". It matches the Rfam family "Bacterial small subunit ribosomal RNA", at positions 29 to 507 of the family's 1533-position model. The record is from RNAcentral.
AGCGAACGCUGGCGGCAGGCCUAACACAUGCAAGUCGAACGAACCUUUCGGGGUUAGUGGCGGACGGGUGAGUAACACGUGGGAACGUGCCUUUAGGUUCGGAAUAACUCAGGGAAACUUGUGCUAAUACCGAAUGUGCCCUUCGGGGGAAAGAUUUAUCGCCUUUAGAGCGGCCCGCGUCUGAUUAGCUAGUUGGUUGAGGUAAUGGCUCACCAAGGCGACGAUCAGUAGCUGGUCUGAGAGGAUGAUCAGCCACAUUGGGGCUGAGACACGGCCCAAACUCCUACGGGAGGCAGCAGUGGGGAAUCUUGCGCAAUGGGCGAAAGCCUGACGCAGCCAUGCCGCGUGAAUGAUGAAGGUCUUAGGAUUGUAAAAUUCUUUCACCGGGGACGAUAAUGACGGUACCCGGAGAAGAAGCCCCGGCUAACUUCGUG